CCUUGUACACACCGCCCGUCAAGUCAUGAAGGUCGGUAACACCCGAAGCCAGUGGCCCAACCGCAAGGAGGGAGCUGUCGAAGGUGGGAUCGGUGAUUAGGACU
RNAcentral lists this ribosomal RNA (104 nucleotides) under uncultured bacterium. RNAcentral describes it as "partial 16S ribosomal RNA". It matches the Rfam family "Bacterial small subunit ribosomal RNA", at positions 1379 to 1482 of the family's 1533-position model. The record is from RNAcentral.